GCAUUGCACUUUCUUCUUCUUACACUUCUCUCUCUCUCUCUCUCUCUCUCUCUCUCUCUCUCUCUCUGUAGAGAGAGAGGGAAAAAAAAAAGCUUCCAAAGAUGAAAGCAAGACACUGUAAGUCUCUACAAGGUCACCUAGAAGCCAUUGUCGUGCAUGGGACCAGCAACAACAUCAACAUGCUGAACCCUUCAAAAAUUGGAAUUCAUGGCCAAAGAGAAAUCUUCCAUGAAGCAGAAAUCUACACCAGCAUUCAAUUUGGAAACAAGAGUUCCAUUGUGAUGGUGGCUUUUUUCUGAUACCUGGGUGCUAUCCUCCCUGAGCUUUUUAUCCUACCUCCUUCUUCAUCCAAUCUAUUUUUAUUUUCUUUAUUUUUCCAUCUUCUUGACCUUGUAAGACCUUUUCUUGACCUUGUAAGACCCAACUCUGUGUCUGUUAUCUUUAUUUUCCAGUUUUUUAAGGGUUCUAUAUCGAAAUCCACCGAUAUAGAAUCCAAUCUCCGUCCAUCCCUGUUUCCGUCCAACUCAUCUUCUCCUUCCUUGUCUAUCCCUCCUGAGCUGUUUGAAAUUAGCCUGUCAUAGUGUCAUGUAUCUCCCCUAAAAAGUUGUGUUACAAAAGUCUUGAGAGCCACUUAGCGUUCAUGCAAGCAAUGGAUACCUCAAUUGCAACAUGGGUUACUUUUUUAUUUUUUAUUUCUUGGGUUUUACAUGUAAACUUAGAAGGAUUGAAGAAGAUGCAAAUUAUAGUGGUCCUUGUGCUGUAGAGUUGUAAAAGAAGCUAGAAUUAUUAAUAAAAUAUUUCCAUUUUGUUUU
Molecule: long non-coding RNA, 812 nt
Organism: Quercus lobata
Lineage: Eukaryota; Viridiplantae; Streptophyta; Magnoliopsida; Fagales; Fagaceae
Exons: 2
Source: RefSeq, a predicted model, not a curated record